Molecule: ribosomal RNA, 649 nt
Filed under: uncultured bacterium
Lineage: Bacteria
Description: bacterial SSU rRNA
Rfam family: Bacterial small subunit ribosomal RNA
Source: RNAcentral
CGAUGCAUAGCCGACCUGAGAGGGUGAUCGGCCACACUGGAACUGAGACACGGUCCAGACUCCUACGGGAGGCAGCAGUAGGGAAUCUUCCGCAAUGGGCGAAAGCCUGACGGAGCAACGCCGCGUGAGUGAUGAAGGUCUUCGGAUCGUAAAACUCUGUUAUUAGGGAAGAACAUAUGUGUAAGUAACUGUGCACAUCUUGACGGUACCUAAUCAGAAAGCCACGGCUAACUACGUGCCAGCAGCCGCGGUAAUACGUAGGUGGCAAGCGUUAUCCGGAAUUAUUGGGCGUAAAGCGCGCGUAGGCGGUUUUUUAAGUCUGAUGUGAAAGCCCACGGCUCAACCGUGGAGGGUCAUUGGAAACUGGAAAACUUGAGUGCAGAAGAGGAAAGUGGAAUUCCAUGUGUAGCGGUGAAAUGCGCAGAGAUAUGGAGGAACACCAGUGGCGAAGGCGACUUUCUGGUCUGUAACUGACGCUGAUGUGCGAAAGCGUGGGGAUCAAACAGGAUUAGAUACCCUGGUAGUCCACGCCGUAAACGAUGAGUGCUAAGUGUUAGGGGGUUUCCGCCCCUUAGUGCUGCAGCUAACGCAUUAAGCACUCCGCCUGGGGAGUACGACCGCAAGGUUGAAACUCAAAGGAAUUGACGGC